Phyllostomus discolor (pale spear-nosed bat) is the source of this 135-nucleotide long non-coding RNA. RefSeq lists it as uncharacterized. NCBI's taxonomy places the organism in Eukaryota, Metazoa, Chordata, Mammalia, Chiroptera, Phyllostomidae. The transcript has 3 exons. The record is from RefSeq and is a predicted model, not a curated record.
AUGUCAAAUAUUGCAAUGUUCACUCCCCAUAAUUCCAGUUUGGCUUUGACUGCAGCCACUUUAUCUGCUGACUUGAACAGAGUUGUCAUCCUCCCCUGAAGUGACAGAUUGAGUUCAUUGACCAAGUUAACUAUC